AAAAUAGCACAUGACUUAUGGGGAGCAAUGUUUCAGCUGACUGUAGAUCUGUCAUAAGAAGCCAUGAAGACAGAACAAAGUGGUGUGACGUUUUAAAAGUCACUAUAAAUUUCUCAUGAAAAACUAUGAAGCCAGAAAGAAGUGGCAUGACAUUUUUUAAGUGCUGAAAGCAAAGGAAUAUUAACCCACAACUCUAUAUUCAGGAAAAUAUGCAUGACAAAUGAAGGAGAAAUAAAGAUAUUCUCAGAAGAAGGAAAACUAAGAGAAUUCUUAACCAGCAGACCUCCUUGAGAAGAACUUCUAAACAUUUCUUCUAAACAGACAGAAGGGCUCUAACCCGAGCUUCAAGCCCCAUUUGUAUGCAGCUGUCCAUGGGUGUCAGUAGUUGUUUGACUUAGCAGAGCCGAGAGCCCCGGGUUGGGAGUGGAGAGAAAAAAGGGAAGAGCUGCAUUCCAGUCAACAUGCUCCUGGAAGGACCUGACCUCUCCCGCUCACUUUUUAAAAAGGCUCCAUAGUCAAGGAAAGCACUUAAAAAAUGUUGUGCUACAUAGUUUCUGAUGAGAAAUCCAC
This 570-nucleotide long non-coding RNA is filed under the name Homo sapiens (human). Its description in RNAcentral is "HSALNT0101991". Lineage: Eukaryota; Metazoa; Chordata; Mammalia; Primates; Hominidae. The record is from RNAcentral.